CAUAAUCCAUGUAGUGCUCUAUACUCUCUAGUCUCUAUCAACCAGCUCAAGUUUAAGGGUGUGUUUGGUAUGGAGGAAACAUUUUCUCUAGAAUAGGGAGAGAUUUGUGCAUAAACAAGGAAGAAUCUCUCAGUAUAACAGUGAAUGGGUAUUUUUUUAAGAUUUGCUUCUUUUGUGUAUGACUUUUGUAAGAAACAUUCUGGUAAAAGUUAAAAAAAAUGAUCUUGUGGAAUAGCCACAGUGAAUUCCUUAAUAUUCGAGUAGAAAAAGCCAGAGAGGAUAACAUUGCUAUUUGUACACUUAUCGUGACACGAGUAGUCUCUUAAAUAUUACACCUUUCUACUGAUGUUGCUGAUGCCACUGGAUUUAGCCUUCCGUCUUCCUUUGCAAGGUAGAUCGAGGACUCCCAAGAAAGGAAACACAAGUUACUGGAGUCUGUUCUGGCCUAUACAGUAUGUAUGUACAUAAAAUUUGGAGUAUCUAAAAACCACUGACAAAUGGCUAUACGAAAGAUCAUAUACAAUUAAAUUACAAGCCAUUUGCAAUCAUCCUGCCCCUUUAUGCAGAAUCUUUUCAAAGAAAAUGAAAACGAACAAAACAAACACUCACACAUUUGGCUUCUGAUUUGACAUUUAUUUCAGAGAACUGGCUAGUCGCUGCAGGAAAAAAAAAGACGCAAAAAAUGGAAAAUAAUAUGUUAGAUGUCCCAUAAUUAAGGAACAAGAGAACAUUAUAGCAAGAAUGAGCAUGCAGGUAUAAGAACUUACACAUUAUUGCGGCAAGAAGCAACUUCUUUCUCAAAGUCAUCAUCAUCAUCUUCAUCUGUUGUUACACUAUCGAAAAUGCUAGCUACAAAAGAUGAAAAAUGAAAUGUUACACUUCCCAAAAUCAAGAAUGAGCAUGCAAGUAUAACAAGUUACACAAUAUUGGAAGGAUUCGAAUCAAUCACAAUGACAGCAUCAAGAACUUUUGUUGAAUUGGUGUAAUUUGACUUACUAAAGCUAUUAUCCAGAUUAUUAUCGAGUUUACUAUAAUGAUGAGUUAAAUAUUGUUGUAAAUCAAGGAAGAAGAUGUCUUACUAAAGAUUACGAGUAUGGACCUCGAUAGAGCUUCCAUAGUUGUCUUGAAUGUCCUGUUGAAUUUGCUUGGCGGAAUUCCCAACAGAUUGUUGACAGUAAUGUAUAUCAAUAAGAGCUAGUGUGGUUAUAUCUGCAAAAUCUCGAGGGAUUGAAUCCAAAUACUCGCAAUUUCUAAGAAAAAGUCGUUCAAGGUACGGAAAGUGAUCACUACUAGCUCUCCAGUACCGAAUGUAUAUUUGAUCCAGAAACAAGAACUUCAAGUGAGGAAACCCUUCCUCAACUACUUCCCACUCCUCGCCUAUGACGGCAUUGUGUGAUAGUUUAAGGACCUCGAGUUUGGGUAAUUUACCAACAAUGCUCAAAUCCUUCCAUGCCAAAAGGAAAUCUCCUCUAAAAGUUAAACUCUGGAAAAGAUUAAUUAACAAAAAUUUAUGGUACUAAUUGGGGUAUUAAUUAACAUAUCCUUACUUGAUCACAUAUGUAUUGUUCUGUGUGAAAUUUUCCUCUGACUGAUAGUUGACUAAAUUAUAUUGCAUACGUUCGUGUACAUUUUCUCACUUGGAAGAGUGGAUUUGGACGUAAUUAACUAUCACCAUCGUUUAGGUAGAAAAAAGAAAAUAACUAAUAGUUGAAUGUUUUAAUACAUAGAUGAUCAACUAAUAUGAGAAGAAAAGAGUAGCGUAAAUGUGAGAUUCACUUCUCACCAAGAAUCCUCCUUUCUUAUUAUUUUCCUUUUAGAGGUUAAUAAUUAUUAAGUAUCCCUAGAAUAAUUUAUUGAAAAAGUAGAUUUGAAAGAAAGCAAUUACUCUCUUCUUCCUAUGCGGGACUUCUUGAACAUAACUAAUUUGACAAAAACCACAAUUUUAUUUAUUUUUAGGUGGAAUUAUAUCAAUAAGGAACUAUAUAUGCUUAUGAUAUUAAUCUAAGACCAUUAUUUGUUACUUGAACACAUGGAUUCAUCAUCUGAACAAUUGAAACAAUUAAUACUUGUGUGAACCUUUUUUUAUUUCGAGUGAUGUGUCAUAAUCAUUAGCCAACUAAGACUAGCGUUAAAUUUUUGGUAAGUCUCAAGAAGUGUAAUUAAUACUUAAUAAAAUAAUCUCAUCCUUGAGAUUCAAGAACUUGUUUGGAUUGAAUAGGUUUUUAUCAUCAAGAUCUAGAACAAAGUCUUAAUAUUAGUAAGAGGUAUUUUUGUGUGAAAAGUUUUCUUUGAGGUUCGAGAAAUGGAAUAGAUAUGGACUACAAGUUGAUAUUUCCCAUUGGAAAAUUCACACAAAAAGGAACAAGGAAUUCUCAAUGAAAAAAGCGCUCUCCAAAUCUGUUUAGUAUUUGUCAUGAGGUUCUUAUCAUAAUUGGAUUUUCCUUUUAGGAAAAGGUAAACACAGUCUCCAUAUUUGUCUAGUUCUUUUUCUUGUAGGAAAAAAAUUAUGACUCUAUAAAUAGAUGUUUUGUAACAUCCGACAAUUUGAAAUAGCUAAGAAGAGGCUUGAAAUUUGGAAAUUUUCAAUUUUUGGAAAGGAUUUGAAAAUCUGGAAAAUUUGGCUAAGUAUGGGAAAGGUGAGUUUUUUUGGGCCCAAACUUUGAACAACCAUAAAUUCUAGCUCAGGAUGAGUUAGGUGGAGUUCCGGUUAUGUUUGCAUAGCCCUCGGAACGACCUUUCCAACGCCACUGAGUUUGCUCAAUUCUGAGUUCGUAUGAGCGAGUUAUGGCCAUUGAAAGUUGGGCAGUUGGCAGGGAAUCCGUCCGGAAAAUUAAGGGCAUUUUAGUCUUUUCCCUAGCCAAUUCUUUUGGGAUUAUAUUGUUGUAUAGGGCUGAUCUUUAGAUCAUUUUGUCCCAUUUUAAGAAAUUAAAAUCUAGGGCUUGAGAGUGAAGAAGAGAAGAAGGAGAAGAAGAAGAGAAAAAUCGAGGAGAUCAACAAGUUUCCGACAAGAUCAUCGUGAAUGUUCGUCGGGGGUGAUCCCUAUCAAGGUAUGUGAGCUUUUAGUGUUGGGUGAUACUUUCCCCCACACACCUAGCCCCUUUUAUUUAUUAAGGAAGGAUUGGUUAUGUUGUUAAAGUUGUUAGUUGUUGUGGUUGAAGUUGUUGGAGUUGUUAAAGUUGUUAGUUGUUGUUGUUGGAAUUAUUGUUGGUGGUGGGACAUAAUUGAGUUGUGUUUUUAUGUUGAAAUCUAUUGAAUGUUGAGGGAUUUUAUGUUUCUAAGUGAUUGGGGGCUGGAAUCUUUGAGGUUAGAGGGUUUAGAGUUGGUAACGUGAAGGAGAAAGUCGGGUAGCUUGCGAGGAGCAUGUCUGCGUCGCGGACUUGUUCCUCUGUGAACAAAAAAUCUUCUCCGCGUCGCGGACAGGACGCAGACUCCACUGUUUUCAGAAUUUAUGUUCGAAGAUUUUCUUAGGUUUGGCUGUCCCAAAUCAUUCGCAAAUCAUUCCUAAACAUCAUGAGACCCUUCCAAACACCAAUCAAGUCCUUGAAUCCAUAAUCCAAUUCAAGGUGAGUUAUGAUCAAGUCAAGUGAAGUUAGUUUUCAAGUCAAGUGAAGUUAGAAGUCAAGUGAAGUUAGAGCCAAGCUUAGAAGUUAAGCAAGUCAAAGCAAGUCUUUAAAGCUUUUCAAGAGUCUUCAUUGAACGUUUUGACUUCAUUCUAAGGCUCAAGUUCCAAGUUAAGUAUAGAGUUUCAAGUCAAGCAAAGAGUCUCAAGUUUCAAGUUAAGUAAAGAGUAUCGAGUUUCAAUUUAAGUCAUAAUUUUUCAGUCAAGAGUCAAGAGUUGAGUUCAAUUCUCAAAAGUAAUUAGGGAACUAAGUAUUUCCCAAAGAAGUUUUAUAAGUGUUUUCACAUUUAAGUUGAGAGGAAACGGAGAUUUCCAAAAGAGUUUUGAGAAGUUUGAGCACUAUCUCUUUUAAAAGAAAAGAUGAGUUUUUGAAAAAGAGUUUCUAAAUUAUGAUUAGUAUGACAAAUGGAGUAUGUCAUCAAUGUUUAAACAGUAUGGUCUCUAGAUAUACCAUCAAUGUUUAAGCAGUAUGAAUAUCCCGAGUCAUCAAUGAUCAUAAAAAAAAAAAAUGUGGUUUUGACUUGUUCUAUUUAGAAAGAGUUUUCAAGUGCCUUCGGGCUAAGUUUUGAGUAAUUAUCUCAACUAAAGAAAGAUGUGCUUAAAACACUUAUGAGCUAAAGUAUUUUGGGAGUAGUAUCGAGCACCGAAUUGGGGAAACGAGUUCAUAUUAAACUCAACUCUCCAUAAGAACCAUGUAGCCAAACAUGGGAUUUCUCGGAUCAUACUUUUUAGAUGAUCACGAAAGUUAAGCUAGUGGAUCCAUUAAGCAAAAGUUAAAGUAAGGUCCUAUAUCGAUGGCAAGGUAUAGGAUGGUCCUUGGGCAACGUGAGGUAAAACGUUGUAUCACCACUCAGAUUCAUAGUGGUGGUUUGUCGGUUAGAGAAGCUCCCACAGUAGAAAGAGCAUGGUUCCUCGAGGGUUCUGCUUAGUAUGGAUGGGGGUAUGGGACUUCAUUCAUGCAUUGCACAAGUAGACUUUGAGAGGAAGCAUGGUAUUUUUAUGAUAUUAUAAAUAUGAUUUUUACGUCAUGUUUUAAUAGUUUCAAAAGCUUUAUAUAUAUUGCAUGUGUCUCAUUGCUUUAUAUUAAGUUCAGUUAUUCUUGAGUUGUACAGAGCCAAGGUAAGUUCUCUUUUGUAUCCCUUUUCAAGCUUAAGUUGUUGUUUAGCGGUCCAGCUCGCAUACUCGUACAUUCCAUGUACUGAUGCCAGUUGGCCUGCAUCUUAUGACGAUGCAGACACNNNNNNNNNNNNNNNNNNNNNNNNNNNNNNNNNNNNNNNNNNNNNNNNNNNNNNNNNNNNNNNNNNNNNNNNNNNNNNNNNNNNNNNNNNNNNNNNNNNNNNNNNNCAGUCAGUUAGUUUUGAGUCUCUCAUCUAUGUAUAUAUGUAAAUAUUCUAUUUUGAGACUCGAGUGGCCUUUUUGGCCAGAUGUGUAUCAUUUAAGUUGUUUAUGUCUUUGCAUGGCAUUGAGUUAUUCUGUUGAGUAGGUUUCCGCUGAGUUAAGAAAGCCAGGCCAAGGGUUCGCUUGGGGCCAGCAAUGGUCUCUGAGUGCCGGUCCCGCCCAGGGUGUAGGCUCGGGGCGUGACAUGUUUAUUCAUUCUAGCUUGGUAGCAUUCAUAAUGCAAUCCUAGGGGGCUUUGAGAGUUUUGUGUAUUGUGUGAAGCUAGAGGAAGAAUGUAUGAGACACAAGUAUUACUUUAACACUUGUGUGAACCUCUUUGUAUUCAGAGUGAAUUGUGUGAGGUUAUUCUUCUCUAGAUUUUAUAGUGAUUUUUUCAUCUCCUCUUGUGGAUGUAGAUCGGUUGACCGAACCACGAUAAAUGUUUGUGUCUUUUGAUAUAUUUCUUGUUUGUCUUAUUACUCAUCGUCUUUCAAGGUUUGCUUUGCUAGCUUUUGCAUGACACCUAAUUAUUUCAGUCCCAACAAGUGACAUCAGAGUCAGGUUCAAUGGUUUAAUGAUUCAAUGGUCGAACCAUGUUAAAAAUAAGUGUUCAUCUUGACGGGUUUAGUUCUAGCCGUAACAUAUUUGACAGUAAUGAAGAUUUUUGUUGGAGAAAUAUUUUCAAAGAUGUUUUCUGUGUUGAUAUAUAUAUAUAUAUAUAUAUAUAUAGAUUUUGCAGAGGAGAUGCAAGGUAUUGAAGAUUAUGUGAAGAAGGUGGAUCAAAUUUAUUUUGUCAGAAAUUUAGGCCAAUGGAGAUAUUUGUUUAGUAUUUGUCAUGAAUUUCUUAUCAUAAUUGGGUUUUUUCUUUUAGAAAAAGGAAACCACAAAGUUUCCAUAUUUGGCUAGUUCUUUUUCUUGUAGGAAAAUGUUUGACUCUAAAAUUAUAUGUGUAUUCCUUCUAGCCUAAUAGCAUUUACAAUGUAGUCCUAAGGGGCAUAGAGAGUUUUGUGUAUUGCGUGUAGCUAGGGGGAGAAUGUGUGAGACACAAGUGUUACUUUAACACUUGUGUAAACCUCUUUGUUUUUCCAUUGAAUUGUGUAAGGUUAUUCCUCUCAAUAUUUUGUACUUUCUUUUAUAUAGUGAAUUGCUCAUAUCCUCUUUUGGAUGUAGGUCGGUUGUCCGAACUACGUUGAAUAUUUAUGUCUUUUGGUAUAUUUUUCGUUUGUAUUAUUACUCAUGGUCUUUCAAAAUUUGCUUUGCUAGCUUUUGCCUGAUACCUAAUAAUUUCAGUCCCAACAAAACCAAACGUGAAAGUUGUUUUCCAGCAGACAACUUUUCUAGUAGCUCUACUCUCGACUUGGAUAAUUUAACCAAAAAGGUACGCUUUCGGCCAUUCUACAUGCUGCCUAUGUAGAGACAUGUUUAUCUAAAGUGGAUUCUCUUUUUUGUAGUAGGUAUCAAACCUGUUAUGCCCAUUGACUAAGAAGCUAGGGGUGGACACAACAACUACAUGGACCUCUUUCUUACAUCGGCCAUCACUAUUAAUCGUCUUUGUUAUCACAAUGACCACCACUAUUACCGUCAUCAAACAUCUCUGUCCUCACAAUUACCAUUAUUAUCAACCACUACUAUAUAUCAAACAUUUGCUAUAUUUAUGUUUUUUAUUGACAUAAACAAUGGGUUAACAUGAUAUAAUUUAUUAGUAGUUUUAUAUAUUUUUCUUAUAAUAAAGGAAACAAUCACUUAUACAUUCUUUGAGAUCAUUUAGUUUAAAAUCAGGAGUGGAAUCAUAACUAGGGUUAUAGCUUAGCAUCAAUUCACCUUCUUAAUUAAUGGGAUAAUUUAAUUAGCUAAAUUUGAAUGAAAAGAAGAAGAAAUUGAUUAAUUUAAUUCGUUUACGUUCCAAUGGGGUGUGCAAUAUCCAUAAAUUUGUCAUGUCGUUAUUAGGUGUUCAUGAGAUGCACAUAUUCCAAGCAAAAGUACCUAUUUGAUCACUAGAUGAGUUUAAGUAUUCAAUUUACAAAUUCUGCCAAAUUUGAGGGACUAUCUAGGUAUUAUUUAGAUAAAAUUAUUUGUAUAGUCCACUCUAAACAUACUUAUAAUUAAGCAAGUAACAUAUACUAUAUAAAGAAGCUUCUAGAGAUAAUUAAAGUUAACUCUAUAUAAUUAGAGUUGCAAUAACAAAUACGUCAAAACAUUAAAGUGUUUCACCAAUAAAGUCAUUUUUUUAAUGUCCAAAACUAAUCCAAUGGAAGCUCUAUUAUGUGGAACACCAGAAGAAGUUUCAGUAUUGUUGGUACAUCAUGAAGUAGAAUUUCUUACUAAUCAGACUGUUAAAUUGUUAGAGGCUUAUAAAUACAAAGGUGACAUUCUAGAAUUUUUUUAACUUUUUUGUUUCUUUGAUAUAAUAACUAAAUGCCGUGUGACAUUUUUUUUUAUAUAUAGAGAGAGAUUGAAAUGAUAUGCUUUUUGUUAUCUCAUUUAUGAUUUUAGCAUCGUCCAUUUUUAAAUUUCAUUUAUCUUGUAAAUCUUGAACUUUUCUUUUUCCUUGUUAUCAUAGCACUUUUUAAUUUUUACAAAUUUAUCUAUCCUCGAAGAAAAAUAAUUCUACAUUAGUGAUGGAUGCACAAGAAAUUAGGAUGACGGGAGGGAAGAGAAAGAGCACGAAAAAGACAUGAUAAGAGAUGAUCUGUCUAUCAUUAUUACUUGAGAUAAUAUUUUUUUGUCUUUUAUUGGAUGUAUAAAAAAAAAUGAGGAGAUCUAAUUUUCAUUAAAAAAACAUUUCCCUUUCUAUUUUUUGUUUUUGUUUUUCGUUGGACGUAGACAAAAAAUUGGCAACUCCUUUCUUAUACUUUGUUAGAUCAUCUAAUUACAUAUCUAUGAAAUAAAAUUACCUCAAAACAUUUUAUCCUAUUAUCUUUUGCUUUAAUAUUUAUUUGUUUUUGACAAGCCAUAAAUAAAUUGGAAUAGUUUUUAGAAAUAUAUUCUUUAGGAUCUUCUCUAGUUUUUAGUAAUCCAAUUAACGAAAAAAAAAAACUAAUAUAUACUUUUUAUGUAACCAAUCUAGUUAAGAUUGCACUCAUCAUUUAUAAUAUAAGUUGAUUAAUAUGUGUUAUUUUAAAAAUUAAAGUGCAGAAAUAUAACAUGAAAAUUCACAGUUGAAUUUGAAUAACAAACAAACAUAUCCAAAUGAUACCUUUGUGUACAAUAUUUUUUUUUUCAUAAUUUUCACUGAUUUCAAAUUGCACGGGUAUAUGUAGUUACGGAAGUUAUGGCUCCUGCGGCAAUGUCAAUGCUUUUCAAAGAAAAGAAAAAAAUUGAUGCAAUGAUAAUCAAGGUCAUUUCACCGGAUUCACAUUGCUUUGAGCUCCUGGCACAAGCUGUAACCUUGAACAUCAUCGUAGUAAGUAAGUAUUUAUAAUUCUAUCUUCCACUUAUUAUUAUAGACGGUAAAGUAAGUUUUUUUAAUUAACUAUUGCAUAAUGUAUAUAAUAUUAUUCAAUUUUAAUUGCUAUCUUCUUGAUAUAAUUAUGCAGUUGUCUAUGAUGAACUCAAUGAAUUCUUAGUGAAGAAAGCUUUGGACAAUGGAGCUUACAUUUGCUCGAAGAAGCCUCUUGUCGAGCAAACUAUGACAUUCUUGUGGCAAUUUGUAUGGAGGGAGAAAACACAAAGAGGGAAAUCAAUAAAAAGAGUAGAAACAAAGGGAGAUCAUAUUUUUGUUUGAAGUUAUUGGAGUUCUGAGAAAACAAUAGGUCGUGGUUUUUUCCUCCCUUGAGCAAAGAGGUUUCCACGUUAACAUAUGUGUUCUUACUUUAAGCAUUUAGAUUACUUCUUGUUAUCAGUAUAGUCAAGUGGUCAGAACACGAGAAGACAUGUCACUAAACAACAACAUAUAUAGGAAAAAACAAACUCUGCUAAGUGAUCGAUCCGUGUGUGAUAGUUGCCUUCUUAACCUUGAACUAUUGCUUCCUGCUAGAUUAUAUGAACUUAGAUAUGUAUACAAAUUAGUAUUCAAUGAGUUCCCAAACAUUCGUGCAUAAACAAUUUCCCCUGUUGUCGUGCCACCAGGACUUAGCAUAUGUUCUGUAUUUGUAUAAUUUCGAUGAUGAUCAUGAGAUUGCUGGGAUAAUGGAGGCAUAUUAUUAUUGUGUAUUAGACCGUGACUCCUACAUCUCGAACUAGGAGGUCUUUGUGGUAUGACUAUACCAAAAUUCUAUACCAAAAUUCGGGGCCUUAAUUUCAGAUGUUUUUGUAGCUUGACAGCGACCAUAGAGUGGAAUCAAUGUUUUUUGUGAGACUUCAGCUUUGCAAACAGGGCAAUUUGGUUGUUGGUUAUCGAUGUUCUCUGAUGAAAUGGUCUUAAAAUGUAUCCAUUUGUAGAUGCAAGGCCAACAAUAGGAGGUGACCACAUAAUGUAACAACAGGAUCAUGUACAACAUCUAGGCAAAUGUUGCACUCGAAACCUCCAGGUGAAUUUUCUUCAAGUUUAUCAAGAUCAAUUGUCUCCAUUUUUCAAAGGAAAUAUCGCGUUGAUCAAAGGUAGUUUCUGCUAUUUGGUCUUGAAAAAUUUGUUCUAAGGCCAUAUUUGCCUCUUGGUAUUGAAUUAUUUUGGUAAUGGCAAGAUGAAGAAUGGUUAGAAUUCAGGUUUUUAAUACAAUUAGAAGUGAGUAUUUAUAAGGACAAAGAAUAGUAGUUUGCAAACAAUGAUUCUUAAGGUUGUCACUUGUCAACAUCACAUUAUGUUAAAGGGGCAUGGCCAAAAAGAAAAGGCCCUACACAUUAUUAAACAACACUAUAUCAUAUUACUCAACAGUCUUGAUUUAUGGGGUAUUGUUUGAUUUGAUAUAACAUUUAAUAAGAAAAUGAAGACUUUUAAAAUAUGUACUGUAUUAAAGAUAAAAAAUAAAUUUUAAGUUUUUCGAUCCUAGAAAUGAUAUUCUUUUUAUAUUAAGACUAAAACAAAUGUUUUACAUAAAUUAAGAUAGAUGAACUAUCAAACACAUCAUAAUUAAGUGAUUUAAUGAAGUCAAAAAUAAAUAUUAAUGGAUCAUGGUUAAGUGAGAGGAGUUUUGUGCAAACACGUCUUUUAUCUAUCUAUUUGAUUUAAACAAGCAUAAGUUUUAUCAUAUUAGAAAUAUGAUUAGGACCUUAUAUUAGGCCCCAUGAUAGGAAUCUUAAUCUAGAAAAUAACUUUUAGUCAAUAAAAAGUAGCACUAGUUGCGUACAAGGAGCUACCACUUGAUGACCUUCCACACUUCCACAUCCCAUAAGUUCAAUAGUUUUCACACUAUAAGAACUAGAUGUUUUUUUCCGCGUGAAUCAAUAAAAUUUUUAGUUUUAUGUUAUAAAACAUGAUUUUUUUCAUUUUGAUUUUAUUAAACUAAUUCACUAAGAAAAUUCAUAACGAAACAUAAGUUCUCAUUGAAAUACUGGAAAUAGUCACUUGGAAAUUUAUGAGUUUUAGGAAAUUAUGCAUCAAAACUUAGAAAGACGCGGCUCAUAUAGAAAUUUGUUGUUAAAUCAUAAUAUAUACUUUUACAUCUGAAUAUCUUUAUUGAUUUGGUUAAAAUUAUAAUUAAAAAAAUUACAAUACAAUAUAUAUAGAUUCACAUAAAUUUAAUACUGUAAGUUCAAUUAUUAUUCAAUUAUUAUUAUGAUAUAUUAAUCUAAAAUUAUUAUAGAAGCUUCUAAACUCUAAAUUCAGAUCCAACUAAGGAGUGAAUAUACAUAGUGGGGGUCUGGGGGAUGGGAGAAAACAUAUGGACGGUGUGACAAAUAAAUAAAAGAAAUACUCCGUCCAUUCCAUUUGACUUAGUAUUGUUUGACUUAAUACGAUGUAUAAGAGAAAAAAAAGAUUUUAGAAAAUUAUAGGCUAAAACAAUUUUUAUAUAUUUAUAUAAUUGUAAAUCAUUUCAUUAAUUAAGGGUAGAUGGAGAAUUUUAAGUUUAAUUAUUUUCAAUUACAAUAAAAUGACAUUUUUAAAGACGGAUUAUGAGAAUAGAGUGCCACGUAAAAUAAAACGAGAAAAUACUACUCCCUCCUUCCCAUUUUAUAUGUUACCUUUUUACUUUACAUUUACAUUAAGAAAUAAUGUAACUUUACCCUUCUACCCUUAUUUAAUGUUUUCUUAAGUUAACUUUAUAACUCCCUCCGUCCCAUUUUAUAUGUCAUCUCUUUCUAUAAAUAGUUGGACCACAAUACUUGUCAUUUUAUAAAAUUUAUGUAUAAAUUACCAUAUUUUACCUAUUAUAUCCUUGAUAGAGUAGUUAAUUAAUCUUGAAAAUAUAUUCAUCAUUUAUUAUAAAUUGACUUAAGAAAAUAUUAAAUAAGAAUAGAAAGAUAAAAUUACAUCAUUUCUUAAUAAAAGUAUAAAGUAAAAAUGUGACGUAUAAAAUAGAACGGAGGGAGUACUACAAAAGAACGAGUCCGCACAUGCAUUAUACAAGUACUACAUGUGUCUCGAAUUUAGCAGCCUUUUGUCAACUUUUUAUAUUUUGGCUUACUUGGAAGCAAGUCUAUCCUCUCCUAUACAAUCAAUUAGGGUGGCCAUUAAUCAUAUAUUAUUAGGCUAAAGAUAACAUAUUGCUCCCUCCGUUUUUAAUUAUUUAUCCAUUUUUUUAGUUAUUCCUAAUUACUUGUCUAUUUUUACAAAUCAAGAAAGAACAAUUUUUUUUACCUAUUAUACCGUCAAUUUAUUACUUUGAAAAAAGUAGAACUUUUUGAAAAUCUUGAGUUUUUAAUUCAUCCACUUCAUAAUUAAUAUGGAUAAAAUGGUAAACUCACUAUUUCAAUAAUUGUUUUCUUAAUAGGUGUGCCAAUUCAAAAAUGGACAAGUAAUUAGGGAUAGAGAAAGUAUAUCGAAAUAAUAUAAUAAGAUAUUAUGCUAAAGAUAAUUAACAAAACUUUGAACAAUUAUAAAUAAGAUAGCAAAAAAAUCCAUAGUAAAUUAACAUGGUUCAACGAUUAGUGAUGGAAUCUGAAUAUGAUUCAGGAUUUUCACUAUUAAUGAAAUUCAAAAGGAAUAAUACAUAAAUGUGCCCUUUAACUUGACUUCAUUUUAUGUUUAUGUCCUUCAACUUUGGGUAUACACAAAUAUGCACCUAAACUUGUAUAAAGUUGAACAACUAGACACAUGAGUCCUACAUGACACAAUACACAUAAGAUACCACGUAGGAUAAAAAAUGCCAUGUAGGACAUGUGUGUCUAUUUUUUCAACUUUAUACAAAUUUAAAUAUCUACUUGUGCACACCCAAAGUUGAAGGGCAUAAAUGUGAUUUGAAGCCAAGUUAAAGGGUAUAUUUAUGUAUUAUGCCUAUUCAAAAUAUGAAUAAAUAAACAUAUAAAUUAGCUGACUACAAUAAUAGACAGAUAAAAAAUAAUUUUAACUAUAUGUAUAAAUAAUAUAAUUUUUCAUCGAAAGAGGUUCAUCUGAUUCCUCACUACUUUCUCUCAUUCAAAACUAAGCAAUAUGAGACUUUCAUGUCACAUGGAACCCUUUUUUUUUUUUUUGGAAAUCUCAGUAGUUCAGUUAAUUGACUGACUAUCUGAAUUCUCGAUUUCCCAUGUUGUAAUCCUCUACCCCAAUUUUUUUAUUACCUUCCUCACAUAUGUAUAAGACCGAAUCCAAAUAUCUAAGAUGAGAGAAUUUUGGGAGAGCCACCGACUCCAACUACUGCCAUAUAUUAUCCAUAUUAGAUUUGACCAACUAUCCAUCCUACCCUCCUCUACGUUCUUGACAACCCAUUUUUGUCUUAGUCAAGUCUUUUAGUGGCACGUUUUGAUCCUCUUUUCAAUUACUUAGAAAAAGUGAGUUAUUAUUCAGAUACAAAAUACUAUCAUUAUCGCCUAAAAAAUUAGACAUUCAACCCGUAAUCACAAUGAUCCAAUUACAAAAGCUCCGAACCCCCUAGGUCUAGACUGGCUCUGGCCCUAGUUUUAUCUCUUGACCUUCACAUGAGUAAACUCGUUGAUAUAGAGGAUUACAGUAUUGAUUUCUUUAAAAGAAAAAAACCUUAAUUUAAGGUAUGGAGGCCUAGAAAGGAAACACACGUUAUAUAUGGAGCCUGUUCUGGCCUAUACAGUAUAUAUGUACAUAAAAUUUGGAGUAUCUAAAGAACCACUGACAAAUGGCUACGAAAGAUCAUAUACAAUUAAAUUACAAGCCAUUUGCAAUCAUCCUGCCACCUUAAGCAGAAAAAAUGAAAACGAAUAAAACAAACACUCACACAUUUGGCUUCUGAUUUGACAUUUAUUUCAGAGAACUGGCUAGUCCUCAGAACACCUUAACUACUCGCUGCAGAAAAA
This 13300-nucleotide long non-coding RNA is filed under the name Solanum tuberosum (potato). RNAcentral's name for it is "long non-coding RNA (STUB_LNC011112)". The record is from RNAcentral. Lineage: Eukaryota; Viridiplantae; Streptophyta; Magnoliopsida; Solanales; Solanaceae.